RNAcentral lists this non-coding RNA (131 nucleotides) under Kryptoperidinium foliaceum. The record is from RNAcentral. Lineage: Eukaryota; Dinophyceae; Peridiniales; Kryptoperidiniaceae.
GGGCAUUGGCGCCGGCUUCAUCCCGACCGUGCUGGAUACCGCACUGCUGGACGGCGUGGUCCAGGUCGAGGCCGAGGCGGCGCGUGAAUACGCGCGCCGCUGCGCCCGCGAGGAGGGCCUGCUGGUCGGCA